RNAcentral lists this ribosomal RNA (252 nucleotides) under uncultured bacterium. Its description in RNAcentral is "partial 16S ribosomal RNA". It matches the Rfam family "Bacterial small subunit ribosomal RNA", at positions 524 to 776 of the family's 1533-position model. The record is from RNAcentral.
UACGUAGGUCCCGAGCGUUGUCCGGAUUUAUUGGGCGUAAAGCGAGCGCAGGCGGUUAGAUAAGUCUGAAGUUAAAGGCUGUGGCUUAACCAUAGUACGCUUUGGAAACUGUUUGACUUGAGUGCAGAAGGGGGGAGUGGAAUUCCAUGUGUAGCGGUGAAAUGCGUAGAUAUAUGGAGGAACACCGGUGGCGAAAGCGGCUCUCUGGUCUGUAACUGACACUGAGGCGCGAAAGCGUGGGGAGCAAACAGG